This 45-nucleotide non-coding RNA is filed under the name Trichobilharzia regenti. The record is from RNAcentral. Lineage: Eukaryota; Metazoa; Platyhelminthes; Trematoda; Strigeidida; Schistosomatidae.
GGCCAGGUGACGAGUCCCAAAUAGAACGAAAUGCGCAUUAUGGAU